Molecule: ribosomal RNA, 401 nt
Filed under: Runcina sp. DTLT2001
Lineage: Eukaryota; Metazoa; Mollusca; Gastropoda; Runcinacea; Runcinidae
Description: eukaryotic LSU rRNA
Source: RNAcentral
CCGUGAGGGAAAGUUGAAAAGAACUUUGAAGAGAGAGUUCAAGAGUACGUGAAACCGCUCAGAGGUAAACGGGUGGAUCCGCAAAGUCGGCCCGUGGAACUCAGCUCGGCGAGCGGCUNGGGUAGACGNAGUUGUGGGAUACCUUGUACCAGGCUGCGUUUUUCUCUGASUUCGCCCGUGUGCAUUUUCCGCGGGNGAGCGCCACGACCGGUUUUUUGGGCYGUGAUAAGCUCGGUGGGAAGGUAGGUCGGAGCCUCUGGUACACUGUUAYAGCCCACUGCAGUGCACGGCUCGGAGACCGAGGAACGACCGCUGYAAAUAGGCAAUUUGGCCUUCCGGGGGAGUYCGACUAGCAGGGACUGGGCAACCGUGCCUGCUGACUGCUCCCACGUGAUGGAUCG